Long non-coding RNA from Helianthus annuus (common sunflower), 1911 nucleotides. RefSeq lists it as uncharacterized. The transcript has 3 exons. NCBI's taxonomy places the organism in Eukaryota, Viridiplantae, Streptophyta, Magnoliopsida, Asterales, Asteraceae. The record is from RefSeq and is a predicted model, not a curated record.
GAGUAAAUAGUUAAAAUUAAUAUAUGAUACUAGGGAAACUGAAUGAACAGUGCCAAAGACCUGCUGGCACCUGUUCAUUCAGCCACAUAUGAAGGGACUGGUGGUUCUCUGGUGGCAUUUGUUGUGUGUGCAACGUUGCUUCUUACACACGUGUCUUCACCUGCAAAAAGAGACUAAAGAAAGAAAGUGAGAAACCAGAUAAAAAAAAGUGCCCGAGCGGGUUCUAAACAAAGAGAGGCGGUGGCUCUAGGGUUCCAGCCGUUGGACCUGGGAACGACCACAACCGAUGGUGCCAGUGGUGGUAGCGAUUUGGGUUGACAGAGGAGUGACGACUUCCUUUUCAAGGGUUGGUAUUCCGGCGAGGUGUUUUCCGAUCUAAAUCCCGACAAUAUUCCGGGUUAUUCUAGACUACGACCAAAAUCCGGUGAAUAACGACGGUGGUUGUAACGGGUGAACUGCUGGCGAAUAAUAUCGGGAAUAUUUGAUUGAAAUGGUCCAAAUUUCUUUCCAAAGUCAAAAUCAAAAUCAAAACAGUGAGCGGCCAUAAACCACAUCGUUGCUUUCUCUCUCUAGAAUGAUUCAAAGAUGGCACAAGAAGAAGACCCAACUUCCACUCAUAGCAAUCGUCUUCUUCCUCUUCGUCCUCUGCACCAUCUUCUACAACGAAUGCCAGUUCCAAGAAAUCCACCGGAAAGAAAACCGGAAACCAAAUGAUAUCGCUACUCGGAAUGAUGUCAAGAAGACAUUUUCUUCCCUCAAUCGCAAUGGUUCGAAAGCUUCUGCAGGGACUUUGGAUAGAUUCAGCACCUACAACUCUACAGUAAAGUACAAUGGAAGAUCUAAUUUGAACGCACCUUUGCUUCAAUCUGAUGAACAAGAAAACACAAGAUUCGUGCAAUGUGUUUUCGGGUAUAUGGGUAUUUGACAACAUUUCUGUUCCGCUUUAUAAUGAAUCUGAUUGUCCAUACAUGUCUGACCAAUUGGCUUGUCACAAAAAUGGAAGACCUGAUUUGAUGUACCAAAACUGGAGAUGGCAACCUCAUGGCUGUGAUUUAAAGAGGUAAUGUUUGUUUCAACUUUAUCGAUAUUCAUAACUCGAUCAGAUAUAGAUCAUAAGUGUCACUUGAUUACAAUUUAGAAUCGGGCAUUAUAAAUAAGCUGGUUUGGGUUCUGUAUUAUGAUUUAAUCUCAAAUGAGUCAAAUAAGAAAAUGUAACUGAGGAAAUGAAUCAAAUGGGCCGACGAGGUCAAACAGAUCUAAAGUGGCCCAAGUGUAUUUUCAAUUAAUACAACCUAAAUUAUUAUUGUUUUGUAAUCACAUUUCAUGCAUUUAUUACUUCAACAUUUAUGUGUAAACUGAAAAUAUAUAAUACAAAAAACAUACUGUAACACCAAAAAAAAUAAAAAAAAAUAAAGCAAAAACAAAGCCAUCCAAUCUUCCACGGUUAUUUUGCGAUGAAAAAUAUGAUGGGGAAAUAGAAGAAAUGGCAAUACAGUACAUAUGUUCAAAAUAAAGGUUUUUUUUACAAGGGUGGCUACGGGGUAUUUAAGUUUUACCUAUGGUGGGUCCGGGUGAGUUUUCUCUCCAGGUCUCAAAUUCAAGUCUCUCAUUGAGGGGUUUAAAAUGUGGAUCUAUUGUGCGGGAAGAAGCCGGCAUUGAAGUUGGUGAAGUUCUCAACCAUGGCCGGGUGAGGAUAAAGCUUGAAAGAGGUUGUGAGGAGAGAAACGUGGGAAGAAGCCGGUAUUGAAGUUGGUGAAGUUCUCAACCAUGGCCGGGUGAGACAAAAAAGCUGUAAAUUUGGCAUAUCAUGUUAUUACAUUAAGAAUGAUUCAGUUUAGUGUGAUCGUGUUAUGAGUUGACGUAUAUGUUAUCAUACCAAGAAUAAUUUGGUUGAGCAUGCCGCAACGCGAC